AUUUUAUUUUUUGAAAGGAGCUCGCUUCACUUUAUUACUUUUCCCUCGAUUAAUUUGGAACCCUCGAGAACUCAGUACUCCUCCUCCUUCGCUUUCGUCGUGUUACUGCACUCAAACUCCUCCCUCAAGAAAAUAACUACACUCAAACUCCUCCCUAAAGAAAAUAACCUGUCGUGCUACUGCGGUCGCCGUCCGCCGAACCUUCUCGUCCUCCUCCUUCGCUUCUCCGCCGAACCUUCUCAUCCUCCUCCGUCACACAAUCUUAGCUUGGUCGCACUCGCUUCUGAGCGCUUCCGUCUGACUGUUUGACUCAGCAAAAGCUUUGGCUUUCAGUAAUAUUCCAACAUGCAUGGAGAGGUGAGGUUAGGGUUGCAUAGCUUCGAUAAUUCACCAAGAACUUUUGGUUUUUCAUUUUUCGCUUACGUUUAUGUGAUUUCACAUGCCUGCUAUAACAGGUCAAGGAAACUAUUUUCACAACUCUUAUUAGGAAUGGCAUGUUUGAUAAUUCCCAUAUCCGCUUAAGUUUAACUCGCGGCAAUUUCUUUUUAUCUUUCUUUUUCUGCAAGCUGUUCAUAUGUUUUAAGUUAAGAUAUUUUCUACACAGUAUUGUUGUUCCUUAUAUAUUAGGAUAGUAGCUACUAAUAUAUAAUGCUUUCGAGGAUUUUAUUUUUUGCAACUAUUAAUGUAAUUUUUGCUUUAAACCUAGCAUCCAUUUGUGGUGUCAUUUCGACUGCACGUGAGAGUUGAGACAUGUUGGCGUCAAGUUUGAGAAUAGUUUCUUUAUACUAUACUGCUUCACAUGUCUAACGUGUCUGAAGAAUAACUGUUUUCCGGAUUUCUGCAAGUCACUUCUGGAAUGAGUCCUGCAUUCAAUCUUUAUGGCUGCACCUUAAUAGUGCUUGCUGAAUGGAAACCACCUGUCUAUGAUAACACCAAGGGUGUAGUUUUGGUUACUGCUUCAACCCGCCGUAAUUCUCCAAAUGAAUAUAUGGUCAUUUCAUCCAGCUCCUGGAGCCUGGAAGUAAUGAAAAUUUUAAAUGGGUGAUGGGAGCUCCGCUGAUUAGCUUUUGCCACAGCACACUUUGACUUUUGAAUACCCUUCUGGCAUCAUAAGGGUAUUCCAUCUAUUAGUUCAAUAAUUUAUUUUUUGAAGUUGACCAUCUAUCUACAGUCAUGGUCUUACUAUGCAAGAUAUCAUUAAUUGAUUGACAUGGUUAAUGUGUGUGAAACUUCAUACUGAAAUUCUCAGACGUUAUUAUAUGUACAUUGUCAUGACUCAUGAAUCUUUAUAUGGUGACUCUGAUAAGAUACUUGAGAUUUUACUUCA
Molecule: long non-coding RNA, 1327 nt
Organism: Beta vulgaris subsp. vulgaris (sugar beet)
Lineage: Eukaryota; Viridiplantae; Streptophyta; Magnoliopsida; Caryophyllales; Amaranthaceae
Exons: 4
Source: RefSeq, a predicted model, not a curated record